Molecule: unclassified non-coding RNA, 317 nt
Filed under: fungal sp.
Lineage: Eukaryota; Fungi
Description: partial internal transcribed spacer region
Rfam family: Eukaryotic small subunit ribosomal RNA (bases 1-46)
Source: RNAcentral
AAGUCGUAACAAGGUUUCCGUAGGUGAACCUGCGGAAGGAUCAUUAGUGAAUUUGUUUUGUGGCUGGGGGUGUCUUGCUAAGUUUAUUUACAAGACAUCCCCCCCAAACACCCCCACUAUUAUCACGCCGGCUGAGGGGGAGCAAUCCUCUAAAGUCGAGAGCCUAGUAAGCUCGGAAAUUUGUGAGAACCAAAACCAGCUAUUAAUUUUAGUUGUGUUUUUUUUUCUCAUUUUUUUUUUUAGAACCAUAUAGUCAUGUAUGUUAAGUAGUAUUCUUAAAACAAAUACAACUUUCAGCAACGGAUCUCUUGGCUCUC